This 229-nucleotide ribosomal RNA is filed under the name uncultured bacterium. RNAcentral describes it as "partial 16S ribosomal RNA". It matches the Rfam family "Bacterial small subunit ribosomal RNA", at positions 568 to 796 of the family's 1533-position model. The record is from RNAcentral.
UACGUAGGCGGAAAAUUAAGUCAGUAGUGAAAUCCUGCAGCUUAACUGUAGAACCGUUAUUGAUACUGGUUUUCUUGAAUAUAGUUGAGGUAGGCGGAAUGUGUAAUGUAGCGGUGAAAUGCUUAGAUAUUACACAGAACACCGAUUGCGAAGGCAGCUUACUAAGCUAUGAUUGACGCUGAGGUACGAAAGCGUGGGGAGCGAACAGGAUUAGAUACCCUGGUAGUCC